AGAGUUUGAUCAUGGCUCAGGAUAAACGCUGGCGGCGUGCCUAAAACAUGCAAGUCGAACGGGCACCUUCGGGUGUCAGUGGCGGACGGCUGAGUAACACGUGGGUGACCUGCCCUCGAGCGGGGGAUAACUGCCCGAAAGGGUGGCUAAUACCGCAGACGUCGAUUGUUCGAUCAGUCGACUGAACCCUUCGGGGGUUCGAGGAGGGGCCCGCGGCCGAUUAGCUGGCUGGUGGGGUAACGGCCUACCAGGGCGACGAUCGGUAGCUGGUCUCAGAGGAUGAUCAGCCAGACUGGGACUGCGAGACGGCCCAGACUCCUACGGGAGGCAGCAGUUAGGAAUUUUGGGCAAUGGGCGAAAGCCUGACCCAGCAACGCCGCGUGGGUGAUGACGGCCUUCGGGUUGUAAAGCCCUUUUCCCAGGGAAGAUAGUGACGGUACCUGGGGAAGAAGCCCCGGCUAACUACGUGCCAGCAGCCGCGGUA
This 484-nucleotide ribosomal RNA is filed under the name uncultured Chloroflexota bacterium. RNAcentral describes it as "bacterial SSU rRNA". It matches the Rfam family "Bacterial small subunit ribosomal RNA", at positions 8 to 522 of the family's 1533-position model. The record is from RNAcentral. Lineage: Bacteria; Bacillati; Chloroflexota.